This 495-nucleotide ribosomal RNA is filed under the name uncultured bacterium. Its description in RNAcentral is "partial 16S ribosomal RNA". It matches the Rfam family "Bacterial small subunit ribosomal RNA", at positions 28 to 507 of the family's 1533-position model. The record is from RNAcentral.
GACGAACGCUGGCGGCGUGCCUAAUACAUGCAAGUAGAACGCUGAAGGAGUAGCUUUCUUCUCUGGAUGAGUUGCGAACGGGUGAGUAACGCGUAGGUAACCUGCCUGGUAGCGGGGGAUAACUAUUGGAAACUAUAGCUAAUACCGCAUAAGAGUAGCUGUUGCAUGACAUUUGCUUAAAAGGUGCAAUUGCAUCACUACCAGAUGGACCUUCGUUGUAUUAGCUAGUUGGUGAGGUAACGGCUCACCAAGGCGACGAUACAUACCCGACCUGGGAGGGUGAUCGGCCACACUGGGACUGAGACACGGCCCAGACUCCUACGGGAGGCAGCAGUAGGGAAUCUGCGGCAAUGGACGGAAGUCUGACCGAGAAAGGCCGCGUGAGUGAAGAAGGUUUUCGGAUCGUAAAGCUCUGUUGUAAGGGAAGAACGAGUGUGAGAGUGGAAAGUUCACACUGUGACGGUAUCUUACCAGAAAGGGACGGCUAACUACGUG